This 514-nucleotide ribosomal RNA is filed under the name uncultured bacterium. Its description in RNAcentral is "bacterial SSU rRNA". It matches the Rfam family "Bacterial small subunit ribosomal RNA", at positions 31 to 518 of the family's 1533-position model. The record is from RNAcentral.
GAACGCUGGCGGCGUGCCUAAUACAUGCAAGUCGAACGGUCUUUCUAUGGAAGCUUGCUUCCACUGAGAAGAUAGUGGCGAACGGGUGAGUAACACGUGGGUAACCUGCCCAUAAGAGGGGGAUAACAUCCGGAAACGGGUGCUAAUACCGCAUAGUUUUCUUGAUCGCAUGAUCGGGAAAGGAAAGACGGCCUUUGUGCUGUCGCUUAUGGAUGGACCCGCGGCGUAUUAGUUAGUUGGUGAGGUAACGGCUCACCAAGACGAUGAUACGUAGCCGACCUGAGAGGGUGAUCGGCCACAUUGGGACUGAGACACGACCCAAACUCCUACGGGAGGCAGCAGUAGGGAAUCUUCCGCAAUGGACGAAAGUCUGACGGAGCAACGCCGCGUGAGUGAAGAAAGGUUUUCGGAUCGUAAAACUCUGUUGUCAGAGAAGAACAAGUUGGAGAGUAACUGCUCCAGCCUUGACGGUAUCUGACCAGAAAGCCACGGCUAACUACGUGCCAGCCGCAGC